RNAcentral lists this ribosomal RNA (473 nucleotides) under uncultured bacterium. RNAcentral's name for it is "partial 16S ribosomal RNA". It matches the Rfam family "Bacterial small subunit ribosomal RNA", at positions 28 to 507 of the family's 1533-position model. The record is from RNAcentral.
GAUAAGCGCUGGCGGCGCACAUAAGACAUGCAAGUUGAACGGACUUAAUCGAAAUAUUUAUAUUUUGAAGCGGUUAGUGGCGGACUGGUGAGUAACGCGUAAGGAACCUGCCUAUUAGAGGGGAAUAACAGUGAGAAAUCAUUGCUAAUACCGCAUAUGCCAUAGAUAUCACAUGAUAACAGUGGGAAAGGAGCAAUCCGCUAAUAGAUGGCCUUGCGUCUGAUUAGAUAGUUGGUGGGGUAACGGCCUACCAAGUCGACGAUCAGUAGCCGGACUGAGAGGUUGAACGGCCACAUUGGGACUUAGAUACGGCCCAGACUCCUACGGGAGGCAGCAGUCGGGAAUAUUGCGCAAUGGAGGAAACUCUGACGCAGUGACGCCGCGUAUAGGAAGAAGGUUUUCGGAUUGUAAACUAUUGUCGUUAGGGAAGAGAAAGGACAGUACCUAAGGAGGAAGCUCCGGCUAACUACGUG